Molecule: ribosomal RNA, 84 nt
Filed under: Amesomyces atrobrunneus
Lineage: Eukaryota; Fungi; Ascomycota; Sordariomycetes; Sordariales; Chaetomiaceae
Description: Amesia atrobrunnea 5.8S ribosomal RNA
Rfam family: 5.8S ribosomal RNA (bases 1-74)
About the family: 5.8S ribosomal RNA (5.8S rRNA) is a component of the large subunit of the eukaryotic ribosome.
Source: RNAcentral
UCAGUGAAUCAUCGAAUCUUUGAACGCACAUUGCGCCCGCCAGUAUUCUGGCGGGCAUGCCUGUUCGAGCGUCAUUUCAACCAU